CAGAGAGUGAAGCCUGAGCUGCAGGAGGAGAGCCUGCAGGCCUCCUGGGUAGGAAUGCACCUUCACAAUAAUGAGAACGGGAACAGUUUUAGGCUCAGUUUCUAUUUAUAAUGGUGACAUGGAAAACAUUCUGCUGGAUUUCCAGCAUGAGUCUGUAAAGAGACAGCUCCAAGAGUUCCAUUGUGACAGCCCACCUCAUUCACAGACACUGUGAAAUGCUAAAAUGGCUUCUGAAACAGACACUCAAAGCAUUGGAGAGAAAAACAGCUCUCAGUCUCAGAAAGAUUAUACCGAGAGAAAAAAUAAGUUAAAUGUAUCUUGAGAAAAAACUCAGAUUACAUGUAAGAUUGAUGAAGUCAGCCAGAAAAUAUUUCCCUAUAAAAUAUUUCUCUCUAAAUACCCAAAUUACACAGCUACUCUCAGCAUGAGAAACAUGAGCAUUACGAAAAAGGGAGCAUAUUCUCAGCAGAAUUUUAUAAGAUUCCUCCAUCUCUGCUGCUCUCUCAUCUUUUAGCCAUUGAAAGGGGGAUUCUAUUGGAAUACAUCACACUACAUCCACCAGCACUUUU
RNAcentral lists this long non-coding RNA (569 nucleotides) under Homo sapiens (human). Its description in RNAcentral is "non-protein coding lnc-ZNF107-6:1". Lineage: Eukaryota; Metazoa; Chordata; Mammalia; Primates; Hominidae. The record is from RNAcentral.